CGUGUCCGCGCAUAUCUGCAUAUCAAUAAGCGGAGGAAAAGGAAACUAACAAGGAUUCCCUUAGUAACGGCGAGUGAAGCGGGAAGAGCUCAAAUUUGAAAUCUUCAAGGUUCUACCUUGACGAAUUGUAGUUUAAAGAAGUGUUUUCUGUUAGAUGAGUAGCAAAAGUUCCUUGGAAUGGGACAUCAUAGAGGGUGAGAAUCCCGUAUUUGGUUAUUCAUUCUAGCUUUGUGAUACACUUUCAAAGAGUCGGAUUGUUUGGGAAUGCAGUCCAAAAUGGGUGGUAAAUUUCAUCUAAAGCUAAAUAUUGGCGAGAGACCGAUAGCGAACAAGUACCGUGAGGGAAAGAUGAAAAGAACUUUGAAAAGAGAGUUAAACAGUACGUGAAAUUGUCAAAAGGGAAGCGUUUGACACCAGUGUUGUUUUUCCGAAAAUCAAUUACGAAUGGCUUGAUUUUGUGUUGUAUUGACCUUAUCAGCUUUCUGCACUUUUUUCGAGUCUUUCUUAAUGCACUUUUCGGUUAACAAGUCAACAUCAAUUUCUGUUGUUGUAAAAGAGUAUUCGGAAGGUGGCUUUCUUUUCGGAGAAAGUGUUUAUAGCCCUAUACUUCUACAAUCGGAGAGAUUGAGGUCUGCAGCGUAGAUCCUUCGGGGUUAGAUACACUUGUGCUAAGUUGUAGCUUUUCAUAGACAACUUGUUGACUAUGUUUAGUCGUGCGGCUUACUCGCUUGUGCUAUUUUACCUACGCUUAGGAUGUUGACGAUCAGCUGAGCGCG
RNAcentral lists this ribosomal RNA (776 nucleotides) under uncultured Neocallimastigales. Its description in RNAcentral is "partial large subunit ribosomal RNA". It matches the Rfam family "Eukaryotic large subunit ribosomal RNA", at positions 24 to 648 of the family's 3401-position model. Lineage: Eukaryota; Fungi; Neocallimastigomycota; Neocallimastigomycetes; Neocallimastigales. The record is from RNAcentral.